This 543-nucleotide ribosomal RNA is filed under the name uncultured bacterium. RNAcentral's name for it is "partial 16S ribosomal RNA". It matches the Rfam family "Bacterial small subunit ribosomal RNA", at positions 355 to 888 of the family's 1533-position model. The record is from RNAcentral.
UAGGGAAUCUUCCACAAUGGGCGCAAGUCUGAUGGAGCAACGCCGCGUGAGUGAAGAAGGUUUUCGGACCGUAAAGCUCUGUUGUUGGUGAAGAAGGAUAGAGGUAGUAACUGGCCUUUAUUUGACGGUAAUCAACCAGAAAGUCACGGCUAACUACGUGCCAGCAGCCGCGGUAAUACGUAGGUGGCAAGCGUUGUCCGGAUUUAUUGGGCGUAAAGCGAGCGCAGGCGGAAGAAUAAGUCUGAUGUGAAAGCCCUCGGCUUAACCGAGGAAUUGCAUCGGAAACUGUUUUCUUGAGUGCAGAAGAGGAGAGUAGAACUCCAUGUGUAGCGGUGGAAUGCGUAGAUAUAUGGAAGAAUACCAGUGGCGAAGGCGGCUCUCUGGUCUGCAACUGACGCUGAGGCUCGAAAGCAUGGGUAGCGAACAGGAUUAGAUACCCUUGGUAGUCCAUGCCGUAAACGAUGAGUGCUAAGUGUUGGGAGGCUUCCGCCUCUCAGUGCUGCAGCUAACGCAUUAAGCACUCCGCCUGGGGGAGUACGACCG